Molecule: ribosomal RNA, 519 nt
Filed under: Bacillus subtilis
Lineage: Bacteria; Bacillati; Bacillota; Bacilli; Caryophanales; Bacillaceae
Description: bacterial SSU rRNA
Rfam family: Bacterial small subunit ribosomal RNA
Source: RNAcentral
AGAAAGCGCCGACGCUGGCGGCGUGCCUAAUACAUGCAGUCGAGCGGAAGAUGGGAGCUUGCUCCCUGAUGUUAGCGGCGGACGGGUGAGUAACACGUGGGUAACCUGCCUGUAAGACUGGGAUAACUCCGGGAAACCGGGGCUAAUACCGGAUGGUUGUUUGAACCGCAUGGUUCAAACAUAAAAGGUGGCUUCGGCUACCACUUACAGAUGGACCCGCGGCGCAUUAGCUAGUUGGUGAGGUAACGGCUCACCAAGGCAACGAUGCGUAGCCGACCUGAGAGGGUGAUCGGCCACACUGGGACUGAGACACGGCCCAGACUCCUACGGGAGGCAGCAGUAGGGAAUCUUCCGCAAUGGACGAAAGUCUGACGGAGCAACGCCGCGUGAGUGAUGAAGGUUUUCGGAUCGUAAAGCUCUGUUGUUAGGGAAGAACAAGUACCGUUCGAAUAGGGCGGUACCUUGACGGUACCUAACCAGAAAGCCACGGCUAACUACGUGCCAGCAGCCCGUUAAAUA